RNAcentral lists this ribosomal RNA (1336 nucleotides) under Escherichia coli. Its description in RNAcentral is "partial 23S ribosomal RNA". It matches the Rfam family "Bacterial large subunit ribosomal RNA", at positions 1615 to 2925 of the family's 2925-position model. The record is from RNAcentral. Lineage: Bacteria; Pseudomonadati; Pseudomonadota; Gammaproteobacteria; Enterobacterales; Enterobacteriaceae.
AAGCCUCUAAGCAUCAGGUAACAUCAAAUCGUACCCCAAACCGACACAGGUGGUCAGGUAGAGAAUACCAAGGCGCUUGAGAGAACUCGGGUGAAGGAACUAGGCAAAAUGGUGCCGUAACUUCGGGAGAAGGCACGCUGAUAUGUAGGUGAAGCGACUUGCUCGUGGAGCUGAAAUCAGUCGAAGAUACCAGCUGGCUGCAACUGUUUAUUAAAAACACAGCACUGUGCAAACACGAAAGUGGACGUAUACGGUGUGACGCCUGCCCGGUGCCGGAAGGUUAAUUGAUGGGGUUAGCGGUAACGCGAAGCUCUUGAUCGAAGCCCCGGUAAACGGCGGCCGUAACUAUAACGGUCCUAAGGUAGCGAAAUUCCUUGUCGGGUAAGUUCCGACCUGCACGAAUGGCGUAAUGAUGGCCAGGCUGUCUCCACCCGAGACUCAGUGAAAUUGAACUCGCUGUGAAGAUGCAGUGUACCCGCGGCAAGACGGAAAGACCCCGUGAACCUUUACUAUAGCUUGACACUGAACAUUGAGCCUUGAUGUGUAGGAUAGGUGGGAGGCUUUGAAGUGUGGACGCCAGUCUGCAUGGAGCCGACCUUGAAAUACCACCCUUUAAUGUUUGAUGUUCUAACGUUGGCCCCUAAUCGGGGUUGCGGACAGUGUCUGGUGGGUAGUUUGACUGGGGCGGUCUCCUCCUAAAGAGUAACGGAGGAGCACGAAGGUUGGCUAAUCCUGGUCGGACAUCAGGAGGUUAGUGCAAUGGCAUAAGCCAGCUUGACUGCGAGCGUGACGGCGCGAGCAGGUGCGAAAGCAGGUCAUAGUGAUCCGGUGGUUCUGAAUGGAAGGGCCAUCGCUCAACGGAUAAAAGGUACUCCGGGGAUAACAGGCUGAUACCGCCCAAGAGUUCAUAUCGACGGCGGUGUUUGGCACCUCGAUGUCGGCUCAUCACAUCCUGGGGCUGAAGUAGGUCCCAAGGGUAUGGCUGUUCGCCAUUUAAAGUGGUACGCGAGCUGGGUUUAGAACGUCGUGAGACAGUUCGGUCCCUAUCUGCCGUGGGCGCUGGAGAACUGAGGGGGGCUGCUCCUAGUACGAGAGGACCGGAGUGGACGCAUCACUGGUGUUCGGGUUGUCAUGCCAAUGGCACUGCCCGGUAGCUAAAUGCGGAAGAGAUAAGUGCUGAAAGCAUCUAAGCACGAAACUUGCCCCGAGAUGAGUUCUCCCUGAGACUUAGAGUCUCCUGAAGGAACGUUGAAGACGACGACGUUGAUAGGCCGGGUGUGUAAGCGCAGCGAUGCGUUGAGCUAACCGGUACUAAUGAACCGUGAGGCUUAACCUU